Molecule: ribosomal RNA, 643 nt
Filed under: uncultured bacterium
Lineage: Bacteria
Description: bacterial SSU rRNA
Rfam family: Bacterial small subunit ribosomal RNA
Source: RNAcentral
CGCGGCCUAUCAGCUUGUUGGUGAGGUAAUGGCUCACCAAGGCGACGACGGGUAGCCGGCCUGAGAGGGCGACCGGCCACACUGGGACUGAGACACGGCCCAGACUCCUACGGGAGGCAGCAGUGGGGAAUAUUGCACAAUGGGCGAAAGCCUGAUGCAGCGACGCCGCGUGGGGGAUGACGGCCUUCGGGUUGUAAACCUCUUUCAGCAGGGAAGAAGCGAAAGUGACGGUACCUGCAGAAGAAGCGCCGGCUAACUACGUGCCAGCAGCCGCGGUAAUACGUAGGGUGCAAGCGUUGUCCGGAAUUAUUGGGCGUAAAGAGCUCGUAGGCGGCUUGUCGCGUCGGCUGUGAAAUCCCGUGGCUCAACUGCGGGUCUGCAGCCGAUACGGGCAGGCUAGAGUUCGGUAGGGGAGACUGGAAUUCCUGGUGUAGCGGUGAAAUGCGCAGAUAUCAGGAGGAACACCGAUGGCGAAGGCAGGUCUCUGGGCCGAUACUGACGCUGAGGAGCGAAAGCGUGGGGAGCGAACAGGAUUAGAUACCCUGGUAGUCCACGCUGUAAACGUUGGGCGCUAGGUGUGGGGGACCUCUCCGGUUCUCUGUGCCGCAGCUAACGCAUUAAGCGCCCCGCCUGGGGAGUACGG